GCUGGGGCAGGGGGUAGCGUGGGGAGGAGGGAGCAGGGGUAGAGGAGCGGCGGCGGCGGUGGAGGGUUAGGUCAGGAGAGGGGAGGCAAGGGUGGGUGGUGGCUGUAACGGUAGGAGGAGUGGGUGGCGACGGCUGGAACAGGGAGGGAGGGGAGUGGUAGAGAGGGGUGGGAUACGGUAUCGCGAGGGAGAGGGGCUAGGGUAGGGAGGACUAAGUCUAGACUGGGGCGGCGGGCACGGGCGCGCGGUGGUGGGUGAGGAGCAGCGGAGGGCUUCCUGCAGGCGGCGAGAAGGAAGCGGGCAGGGCCUCCGGAGUCAGCCGCGGGAGGCGGCGUCCCGGCGGCGCGAGCAGGGCGGGAGCCGCGGCGUAGAGGUGACGGUAGAGGCGAAUAUGUAGAGGCGGGAGCCGUAGGGUGGGUACCGCGAGGCGCGCGACCUGUUGCGUAACGGCCGGCGGCACCGCCUGGUCGCGGGGUUCUUCCGGCGGUUCGACGAGAGGUGCCGUGGAGGACAGCGGCAGCGGGCGAGGGGGUGACCCUCACCUCGGCUGGUACCUCAUGCAGGCCAGGCACCUGGACGACGGGCAGGAGCCGGGGUUUCGGGCCCGGUGACCGGAGCAGCGGCCCGAGCUGAGAUCCCUGACCCAGUACCAGACGCUCCGGGAGUUGCUGCGCGCGACGGAGUGGUAGGUGGUGGGGCAGGAGGAGCGGGGGUAGAAGUAGCCCUCCACCUUCACACGUCGCAACGGCCCCUAUCAGGGUGAGAGUAUGGUCGACGCGUUCGUCGGACGUGGCCGCGGCUUCACCACCACGCGUACUGGACGCGAACACCACAGGUGUUCCUCAAGACGAAACUGGUGGGGGUGACUUAUUAGGACUCUGAGACAAAAACGUAAAAAAAAACUUUCUAGGCCCCAACGGCCAUCGUUCGCCCUUUUGUCACCACUAGUUUACUAGUACCAAUGUACUCUGAGACAAAAAACGUAAUAGCUGCCUAGCCUAACGAGGCAUGGACCGUCUCAGAAAACGCGAAAGGUGAGCUGAUCGUUAAACGGCACGGGGACUGGACUAAAAACCGGUCAACAUUGACGCAAUAAAACGAUUAGUUUCACCAUGAUUAUCUAACCUUAAGUAGUAUCCUUAACUUGAACAAAAGAACUAAGUAAAUAUGAUACAACUAGUAGACCACGUAAUCAUAUGUCAGUAUCAUCUUAGUACCGAGACACAUAUGCAUGAUGACGGACGGUAGUACACGGUGGUAUACAAGAUUCAUUCUGAUCGUCUGAUAAUCACCGAACACAUGGUUAAAAGAGCACGGGUACCAACCGCACGCGACCCCAUUUGUGUACUGGUGUGUGAUCAUUGACGUGUUGAGACUUUACGAACGAUUACUAAUGAGUAGAAACAAUGUGGUACGUACGUGGAUGUCGAUGUCCCUAGACAUGACGAAUGACUUACUUACUUACUACACGUAGAAAGAAGUCAAACUAACUCUUUACGGGGGGAAAGGACACGAAUCUAUACGGGUGAUUCGUUGGUCUUCCAAAGGUAAAGCUACAGAACAGAGGAUCGUCAUACGGAUCAAUGGAGUGGGAGAUUUCUUUUGUACAGGAAUUGACGAUCACAGGUCCUAAUGAUACAAAGACAUAACGACAUCUCCACUGACUUAAACAAGGCAUGUGCGUUCAUACCUGAAGAUCCUUACUAACACACAUGGUAAUAGUGUACGGUACAAAAACUAAUCGUUUUGUAGCAACUGAACCUUGUUCCCAACCAUGACCAAUGACUUACUACACGCAAAAAAGAAAUCAACUUUUUUUAAGGUGGGAAAAACACGUAUUUAUGUAGACGGGUGGUUCAGUGGUUUGUACAACGUUCCGAACCUGUAACCACCUUGAAAUAGAUUACGAGAACAAGAGGACACAAAUGGUCGAAGUUGAGAUCAAUUAAACCAGAUAAUAAUAGGGUCUUCGACGUUACUACCUCUAGUGUGCGAGGAAGCUGGUCGGUACCGAUCGGAGGCAGAAGCCGGGGAGGUUGGAGCGGGGGCUGGAGCGGACGACGAGGAAGCUGGUGUGUGAGGCGACGCUCCGGAAGCUCAUGUUCACCACUGCGACGCGAGGGUGCCACUGCGACGCGAGGAGGAUCGGGGGCAAAGUACCACUGAUCACUACGUUGUGUGGUUCGUCAUUGUCCGUUGGUUCGUCGUCGUCCCCCUCCCCGAGAGAGCUUGUAGCGGCGACGGUGAGUAACGAUGACAGUGACUAACUACUACCUACUAGCAACAAUCAAAUCGAGCCAGCGACAAGCAAAUCGAGGAACCAUCAGGGAUGACGACGACCAUCUUUAUCUUUACCAUCAACAUCAGGGUACAUCAACAUCAUGGUACAUCAAGGAGAUGAGCCCGACGGGAAACAACGAAGUAAAGAUACAAUUAAAUCAGACAACUUACAUAGAUGAUAGAUGAAACACCGACACCGACAACUUUCUUUAUUUUACCAAACCUAUGUACGCAUGUACGACUAUACAGUUCGACCUUAUCGACGG
This 2546-nucleotide ribosomal RNA is filed under the name Triticum aestivum (bread wheat). RNAcentral describes it as "partial small subunit ribosomal RNA". The record is from RNAcentral. Lineage: Eukaryota; Viridiplantae; Streptophyta; Magnoliopsida; Poales; Poaceae.